Molecule: ribosomal RNA, 253 nt
Filed under: uncultured bacterium
Lineage: Bacteria
Description: partial 16S ribosomal RNA
Rfam family: Bacterial small subunit ribosomal RNA
Source: RNAcentral
CACGUAGGGCGCAAGCGUUGUCCGGAAUUAUUGGGCGUAAAGAGCUCGUAGGCGGACUGUCACGUCCGCUGUGAAAAGCUAGGGCUUAACCCUGGCCUUGCAGUGGAUACGGGCAGACUAGAGGUAGGUAGGGGAGAAUGGAAUUCCCGGUGUAGCGGUGAAAUGCGUAGAGAUCAUGAGGAAGACCAGUGGCGAAGGCGGGUCUCUGGACAGUUCCUGACACUGAGGCACGAAGGCCAGGGGAGCAAACGGG